UACGUAGGGGGCAAGCGUUGUCCGGAAUCAUUGGGCGUAAAGAGCGUGUAGGUGGCUCGGUAAGUCCGCUGUGAAAGUCCAGGGCUCAACCCUGGAAUGCCGGUGGAAACUGUCGAGCUAGAGUCCGGAAGAGGCGAGUGGAAUUCCUGGUGUAGCGGUGAAAUGCGCAGAUAUCAGGAGGAACACCGGUGGCGAAGGCGGAUCUCUGGGCCAUUACUGACGCUGAGGAGCGAAAGCGUGGGGAGCGAACAGG
This 253-nucleotide ribosomal RNA is filed under the name uncultured bacterium. RNAcentral's name for it is "partial 16S ribosomal RNA". It matches the Rfam family "Bacterial small subunit ribosomal RNA", at positions 524 to 776 of the family's 1533-position model. The record is from RNAcentral.